GAUGAACGCUGGCGGCGUGCCUAAUACAUGCAAGUCGAGCGAACGGACGAGAAUCUUGCUUCUCUGAUGUUAGCGGCGGACGGGUGAGUAACACGUGUAUAACCUACCUAUAAGACUGGGAUAACUUCGGGAAACCGGAUCUAAUACCGGAUAAUAUUUUGAACCUCAUGGUUCAAAAGUGAAAGACGGUCUUGCUGUCACUUAUAGAUGGAUCCUCGCUGCAUUAGCUAGUUGGUAAGGUAACGGCUUACCAAGGCAACGAUGCAUAGCCGACCUGAGAGGGUGAUCGGCCACACUGGAACUGAGACACGGUCCAGACUCCUACGGGAGGCAGCAGUAGGGAAUCUUCCGCAAUGGGCGAAAGCCUGACGGAGCAACGCCGCGUGAGUGAUGAAGGUCUUCGGAUCGUAAAACUCUGUUAUUAGGGAAGAACAUAUGUGUAAGUAACUGUGCACAUCUUGACGGUACCUAAUCAGAAAGCCACGGCUAACUACGUG
RNAcentral lists this ribosomal RNA (497 nucleotides) under uncultured bacterium. Its description in RNAcentral is "partial 16S ribosomal RNA". It matches the Rfam family "Bacterial small subunit ribosomal RNA", at positions 28 to 507 of the family's 1533-position model. The record is from RNAcentral.